This 601-nucleotide long non-coding RNA is filed under the name Oreochromis niloticus (Nile tilapia). Its description in RNAcentral is "lncRNA (ENSONIG00000043168.1)". The record is from RNAcentral. Lineage: Eukaryota; Metazoa; Chordata; Actinopteri; Cichliformes; Cichlidae.
UUCUGAAGUGGUUUAUUUUUAAACCAGGCAACAUACCUAUUCAUAUUUAAUAUCAUAUAGAAUGUAUUAUUGUUCGUAGCAUGAACAUCUGUGUAGUGAUUUAUUUCAUUAGUCUCUCUUUCUCAAAAAAACAAUAUAAUUAUUUAAUGUGCUAAACAUCAGAAAGACUCCUUUAAAUAAGAUUGAGAUGAGUGAUUUGAUUUCAAUUCCUUUUUUCUUCCUAUGUUUUCUACACCUGUAACAACUACAACUGCUGAGCCAGUUAUAACAAAGGUGUUGCAGUUCACAUCUGUUGGAGAGAUAUUUACAGCUGACAUGCUGAACUCAUCAUCUCCAGCAUUUAUAAAUAGAGCAUCACUGAUAGUGACAACACUUGAACCUAUCUACAGGACAACAUUUUCUUCAUACUUCUCAAUGGAAGUGACUGGAUUCCGAAAUGGAUCCAUCAUCAGUAACAUUGACAUUCGGUUCGCAUCUACAUCAGUGCCAAAUGACACUGAGAUUGCAAAUGUUUUGAUCAAUGCAGCUCCAAACAUAACAGCCUUCAACAUUACCAAAGUUGUUGUCAGUGACCCAGGUAAGAAAUAUUUAAUAUGAUCAU